RNAcentral lists this ribosomal RNA (180 nucleotides) under uncultured bacterium. RNAcentral's name for it is "partial 16S ribosomal RNA". It matches the Rfam family "Bacterial small subunit ribosomal RNA", at positions 333 to 508 of the family's 1533-position model. The record is from RNAcentral.
AGACUCCUACGGGAGGCAGCAGUGGAGGAAUAUUGGUCAAUGGGCGAGAGCCUGAACCAGCCAAGUAGCGUGCAGGAUGACGGCCCUAUAGGGUUGUAAACUGCUUUUAUAAGGGAAUAAAGUGGGUCUCGUGAGACUUUUUGCAUGUACCUUAUGAAUAAGGACCGGCUAAUUCCGUGC